This 770-nucleotide unclassified non-coding RNA is filed under the name Hevea brasiliensis (rubber tree). The record is from RNAcentral. Lineage: Eukaryota; Viridiplantae; Streptophyta; Magnoliopsida; Malpighiales; Euphorbiaceae.
CGAGGAUUCUUUGAUCUGUUGCAAGAAAGGGUGUUCAAGAUGCAUAGAUUCUUGAAAAAUGAAAAGGCACUUACAUUGAAAGAUUCCCCGAUUAUGAUUAAAAAAGAAUCUGGUGAAAGCUUCACAGGGAUCCAUUCUCCAUCUUUGGUUUGUAUCUCUAACCCAUCCACCUCAUUUUGGUACAGUAUGCUUGUUAUGUUCUUGUCUGUAUGAGGCACCCCAAACUACAGAGAAAAAGGGUGCCUCAUAUUUGGCGACCCUGAGAAGAUUGUAUGUUGAGUUUAUAUGCUCAUCCAAGUAUUUCUCAACACCCAAGCUUUCCACAAUCAUCCUCCUUACUAUUUGCCCUAAUUCCAGCACUGGUUCAGAGAAUAAAUGCACAGUUUUGCUGCCAAAAGAAAUGAACGAGUGUAUGGCUUAGUCAACUUAACAUGAACAUGAACAUGAACAUUAUAUUUUGUAAGUAAACCGGCCGGCAGCAAGAAAGAAAGGCACAGAGAAACUCACAAACCUGAUUUUUAUGUUCCCUUCAGGCCACAAGACAUUGGUGAAGUUUUCGACCAUAUCGUAGAUACUAGGUUCAACUAUGCACAGGCCCUCAUAGAUUGAUGACCUUGCUGAAGUUGAUCCAAGAUAACCAUGAUAUGGUUUUUCAGAAACAUUGCGCCGUUUCGUUUCCAAAGGCAAUUGCAACAUCUCUUCCAUUGCUCCAUUCAUUGCGUUUCGAAGGUCUUGAGGAAUUUUGUUGAACAAAGCCUGGAAGCAACCAA